Molecule: transfer RNA, 69 nt
Filed under: Stenamma megamanni
Lineage: Eukaryota; Metazoa; Arthropoda; Insecta; Hymenoptera; Formicidae
Description: tRNA-Leu
Source: RNAcentral
UUUAAUAUGGCAGAUCAGUGCUAUAGACUUAAACUCUAUAUAGAAAAAAUUAAAAUUUUUUUAUUAAAU